UACGUAGGGGGCAAGCGUUAUCCGGAUUUACUGGGUGUAAAGGGAGCGUAGACGGUGCGCCAAGUCUGGAGUGAAAUGCCGCGGCUUAACUGCGGAACUGCUUUGGAAACUGGCGGACUAGAGUGCGGGAGGGGUAAGCGGAAUUCCUAGUGUAGCGGUGAAAUGCGUAGAUAUUAGGAGGAACACCGGUGGCGAAGGCGGCUUACUGGACCGUAACUGACGUUGAGGCUCGAAAGCGUGGGGAGCAA
RNAcentral lists this ribosomal RNA (248 nucleotides) under uncultured Lachnospiraceae bacterium. RNAcentral's name for it is "partial 16S ribosomal RNA". It matches the Rfam family "Bacterial small subunit ribosomal RNA", at positions 524 to 771 of the family's 1533-position model. The record is from RNAcentral. Lineage: Bacteria; Bacillati; Bacillota; Clostridia; Lachnospirales; Lachnospiraceae.